UUAAAGUAACACAGUGAAGCAGCUGAACUUCUAAUUAUGUCGUCAGUCAGUCGUCAUUGUUCAUUUUAUUUCAUUCAGUAAAAGAGUUGCAAAAGUAAAACUGCGGGAACAUUAAUAUAUUAUUGCUUGUUUUCGCCAAUUUAUUUCGAUUAUUCGUCCAUAGAAUAUGGGGAAUAUGGUGAUUCAUGUGUCAUGUGCAGUGCAAGUUCAUAAUUUUUACGGCAUCGAAGAAUCCUGAACCAGAACGUCCAGAUAUUGUGAGGAAAAAACUAAACUAUCGGAGAGUUCUCCUCUGCGUCGAGUUAUGCGGCUCUUGAACUGUUCCUUAACCUCAACCCUUCGUCGUCGACCGGCAGUUUUUGCUCGUCAAUUCUUCCUUGGAUGCAGCAUCUCCAGCUUGGCCGAAGAAGUUCGACACAAGACUUUUGCCGCAGGUGUGUCUGUCUGUCCGUCGGCGCGUGUGUGUGUCUGGCAGGAUGGGAUAUAGGAUUUGUUGUGCGCCCGCCAGCAAACUUCAUCCGGUGGCAUCUCUUCUGCCUUUGAAAAAACAUCCACUUGAGGACAUGCAUUCGACAGAGUAUGGUGCCUCAGAGAUAACAGAAUGUACGCAGAUGUCAUCCAACUGCACCGAACGUGACCCAAAGAGACACACGUUGAAGCAGAGAUGAGGACCGAGUUGUGUAGACUUUGCGAGCGGACAGCUGCCGACGGUGC
Long non-coding RNA from Neocloeon triangulifer, 714 nucleotides. RefSeq lists it as uncharacterized. NCBI's taxonomy places the organism in Eukaryota, Metazoa, Arthropoda, Insecta, Ephemeroptera, Baetidae. The transcript has 4 exons. The record is from RefSeq and is a predicted model, not a curated record.